GACGAACGCUGGCGGCGUGCCUAACACAUGCAAGUCGAACGAGAGCGACCGGCGCUUGCGCUGGUCACUCUAGUGGCGAACGGGUGAGUAACACGUGUAUCACCUGCCCAUCUGUGGGGGAUAACAUUGGAAAACGGGUGCUAACACCGCAUAGGCCUCCGCACCGCAGUGUUUGUUGGGGAAUUGCGGCGCAUGCUUCUGCAGUUGCAUGGUCCCGCGUUGCAGUUGCUAGAUGGUGGGGCAACGGCUCAGCAAGGUCGUGAGGCGUAGCCGACGUGUGGGAGUGAUAGGCGACAUUGGAACUGGGACACGGCCCAUACGCCUACGAGAGGCAGCAGUAGGGAAUCGGACGCAAUAGUCGCAAGUCUGACGGAACAGGGCCGAGUGUGUGGAAGAGGUGUUCGGAUCGUAAAGCUCUGUUGUUAGUGAAGAAUAGCUGCUGGAGUAGAUGAUGGCGGCGUGACGGUAUCUAACCAAGAAGCAACGGCUAACUACGUG
This 498-nucleotide ribosomal RNA is filed under the name uncultured bacterium. Its description in RNAcentral is "partial 16S ribosomal RNA". It matches the Rfam family "Bacterial small subunit ribosomal RNA", at positions 28 to 507 of the family's 1533-position model. The record is from RNAcentral.